CCUACGGGUGGCAGCAGUGGGGAAUAUUGGGCAAUGGGCGCAAGCCUGACCCAGCAACGCCGCGUGAAGGAAGAAGGCUUUCGGGUUGUAAACUUCUUUUGUCAGGGACGAAGCAAGUGACGGUACCUGACGAAUAAGCCACGGCUAACUACGUGCCAGCAGCCGCGGUAAUACGUAGGUGGCAAGCGUUAUCCGGAUUUAUUGGGUGUAACGGGCGUGUAGGCGGGAAUGCACGGCAGAUGUGAAAACUAUGGGCUCAACCCAUAGCCUGCAUUUGAAACUGUAUUUCUUGAGUGCUGGAGAGGCAAUCGGAAGUCCGUGGGUAGCGGUGAAAUGCGUAGAUAUACGGAGGAACACCAGUGGCGAAGGCGGAUUGUUGGACAGUAACUGACGCUGAGGCGCGAAAGCGUGGGGAGCAAACAGGAUGAGAUACCCUGGUAGUC
RNAcentral lists this ribosomal RNA (443 nucleotides) under uncultured bacterium. RNAcentral's name for it is "partial 16S ribosomal RNA". It matches the Rfam family "Bacterial small subunit ribosomal RNA", at positions 338 to 795 of the family's 1533-position model. The record is from RNAcentral.